RNAcentral lists this ribosomal RNA (580 nucleotides) under uncultured archaeon. RNAcentral's name for it is "bacterial SSU rRNA". It matches the Rfam family "Archaeal small subunit ribosomal RNA", at positions 1 to 581 of the family's 1478-position model. The record is from RNAcentral.
UUCCGGUUGAUCCUGCCGGAGGUUACUGCUAUCGGUGUUCGACUAAGCCAUGCAAGUCAUAUGUUCCUCGUGAACAUGGCAUACUGCUCAGUAACACGUGGAUAACCUGCCCUUGGGUCUGGGAUAACCCCGGGAAACCGGGGAUAAUACCGGAUGACGCAUAUGUGCUGGAAUGCUUUAUGCGUAAAACGGAUUCGUCCGCCCAAGGAUGGGUCUGCGGCCUAUCAGGUAGUAGUGGGUGUAAUGUACCUACUAGCCAACAACGGGUACGGGUUGUGAGAGCAAGAGCCCGGAGAUGGAUUCUGAGACAUGAAUCCAGGCCCUACGGGGCGCAGCAGGCGCGAAAACUUUACAAUGCGGGAAACCGUGAUAAGGGAACACCGAGUGCCAGCAUCAUAUGCUGGCUGUCCAGAUGUGUAAACUACAUCUGUUAGCAAGGGCCGGGCAAGACCGGUGCCAGCCGCCGCGGUAACACCGGCGGCCCGAGUGGUGACCGUUAUUAUUGGGUCUAAAGGGUCCGUAGCCGGUUUGGUCAGUCCUCCAGGAAAUCUGAUAGCUUAACUGUUAGGCUUUCGGGGGA